This 253-nucleotide ribosomal RNA is filed under the name uncultured bacterium. RNAcentral describes it as "partial 16S ribosomal RNA". It matches the Rfam family "Bacterial small subunit ribosomal RNA", at positions 524 to 776 of the family's 1533-position model. The record is from RNAcentral.
UACAGAGGUCCCGAGCGUUGUUCGGAUUCAUUGGGCGUAAAGGGUGCGUAGGUGGCGCUGUAAGUGGGGUGUGAAAUCCCGGGGCUUAACUCCGGAACUGCAUUCCAUACUGCGGUGCUUGAGUACUGGAGAGGAGACUGGAAUUUACGGUGUAGCAGUGAAAUGCGUAGAGAUCGUAAGGAAGACCAGUGGCGAAGGCGGGUCUCUGGACAGUACCUGACACUGAGGCACGAAGGCCAGGGGAGCAAACGGG